Apus apus (common swift) is the source of this 1865-nucleotide long non-coding RNA. RefSeq lists it as uncharacterized. Lineage: Eukaryota; Metazoa; Chordata; Aves; Apodiformes; Apodidae. The record is from RefSeq and is a predicted model, not a curated record. The transcript is spliced from 4 exons.
UUAUUGUUGCUUAUUGGAAUGAUUCAAUAGCCAAAGACUUGGAGAGGAUAGACUUACAUAAUUGUGUGAACCCUUAAAUAAUUGCAGAGUAUUCUGCUUCCAAAACCAUGGAUCCCAAGAUAGCUUUAUUGUCUUUUGUGGUUUCUCCUCUGAUGUUGUAGCUGACUGGAUAGACCCUUGAUUUCUGUUUCCUUAUCUGUUGAACUUGCUGGGCUUUGCAUUAGACCCUAAAAUUUGAUACCUGUCUGAAAAGAAAUCCAAGCCAAAAUUUUGUUUUCCAUGAUUUAUUGUGUUGGGUAUUUCUGUUACUGUUGGUCUGAGGGCCCACAUGCGAGAUUGCCUUUCAGUUAAGAUGUUCUCCUGUCAGUACUUAGUGCUUCCACAAUGAAAAUGAAGGUUGCCUGAUGGUUACACAAGCAGAAGACUAGUUAUUACCAUUCCCAAUAUAAUGUCAAUUUGUUGUUCUGCUUUGAGAUAGGCUUGGCUUUCUGCCCAUGCCUUCAGUCAUUACAAAUUGCUCUUUGUAACUUGACAAAGCAGCCAAAUAAUAAGAAUUUUCUUGCUAAUUUAUGUAAACCUUCGUGAUACUGUGGUUCUGAAGUGAAUGUUCCAAAUUUUUUUUUUCUAGAAUAUUAAUUACCAUGUAGUCCUACAGUAAGGAUAAGCCAUGACCUUCAGUAAUGAUUCAAAUAAAACUGAAUUAAGUUAUUUUUCCCUUAGUAGUACCAGUUUGGUCAACCUGGGUAUUUUGGUAGUUUUCAAAUGAUAUGCUAUCUUUUUAAGAAUAGAAAAAUUAUAAUAGAAAUAUCUUCUGUACUCCUUGUACUUCUCAUGAGUGUUCCCUUAAGAAAGGAGAGCAAUCUGUUAGCUUAGGCUCCCUGUUUGGUGCUGUUGCUGAAGAACAGUUUGUAGCUUUUUAUGUUCCUAAGGGGAGGAGAGAGUACUGAAAAAGAAGUGGGUUUGUGCUUUUUAUUUAAAUCAUGAUGUUACAUCUGGAAACUUGUUGUAAUGUAAAUUAUUCCAUGAGUGUAUAUAAUGUAGCUUUUGAUACUUGCUUAAAUUGACUUUAAAACCAGGUAUUUAAUGUAAACACAGUAAUGCAAUAUUUAAAUCUACCUAUUGCAGCUCUUUGUGGGAAGAAGUUCACAUUCUUGCUUUAAAGAAUAUUUUAUCUUACAAUGCUAAUAAUUAAAGGAAAAUUGAAACUAAAAUUAAAGAAACACCAACUUAUUGUGUGUUCUAACAAGAAGAAUUAACUCAGGGAUUCUGCUAGUUCACGUAAAGGCUAUGUCUGUCUUUGCUCGUAUUCUGAUGUGGAGAGUGCAGUGCAGUAAAGCUUUCCAGGUUUGUGGGUUGAGUUAUGGAUCUUAAAGGCAAAUAACUUAGGUUCCUGUUAUUGCUACUUCUCUUGCACAGACUGAACAUUUGACUGCGUGUAUUCAAAUUUGUCACAGCAGACAUAAAUUCAGAAAUGUCUGGGACAAUAUGAUAACCUUAAGAAUCAUACAGUGCUCUAAAAAUUACUUAGUAGAUGAGUUUUUUUUUCAAGUAUCCAUUACUUAUUGGUUUGUAUACUGUACCCUUGAAUUUUACAUGGAUAUUUUGUGCUGUUGUGUAUUCCAGAAUUUCCUUGACUGUUACGGAUAAGACUCAGCGAUGACAGAAGAUAAAAUGCUCCGUGCAGAGUUUUUGCCUCUGGGUGGAAUGAACAGUCCUGAGCACAGGAUUCAAGAGUAUGAAGUAGGAAAACUGUAGAAAGUCCUGCUGUGCAGAAGCAAAGAACUGGUAUGUUUCCAGUAGAUGAGCCAGUGGAGCAUUUUCAAGAAGCCAUGCAUUUAAAUAUCUCAACUAGAUGGGAAAGUCAC